CUUAUUUCACUUCCAGUACUCUGAUUUUAGCAGCUUUGCCAAAGCAGUGGGACCAUGUUUAUUUAAAUGAAGUUUAAAGAGGACUCAUGACAUUUUUGCAAAUGCCUGGAAAAUUUUAUUUGGUUAAAACCCAACACUUGUCAUCACACAGUUGGCAAGAUUAUUCUUUUAAGAUAACUGACAAUGAAGAACCAAAAAUCUAAUUUUUGAAGUUAUUUUUUUCAUCAAGAAAACAAAUGCAACUUUUAUUAGACAAAUCAAGGUUGUCAAAUCAGAUACAGCAUCAUUCUUUCGAAGGAGACAAAGUUCUGGCUCUUUGUGAGGUUUGAGAAUUGGUCCCACGCUUCAUGUCAUUCACCUUUGAGAAUUCUCAUUUGCAAUACAUUGGUCACAGUAUCCCAUCUUCUGCUCAAGCUAAGAGAAGAAAUCACUGCAAAUACAAAAAGCCAAAUAACCUGCUUCCUUGAUCCUGCUGUGACAUCUUGUAUCUGUGCACUUCCAUUUGCAUUAUAAUGGUAAGACUGUAUCAUGCCAGAUGUGUUAUUUCAAGAAGAGGAAACAUUUUAAGGACCAUAGACUAGUCCUUGCACCUCAUGUGAUGCAACCUCAUCAUGCCAACACUCCACAUUCCCUGAGUGUGGACUUUGGAGUCAGUGUUUUCUACACUCUCCUCUUGCUGUGUGACUUGAGGAUACAUAACCUCCCUGAGCCUCAGUUUCCUCAUCCAUAUGAUGCAGCUGAUUAUAUCUUCUCACAGUACUGUCGCAACAUUCAAGUAAAAUAAUGCAUGUGAAAACAGAAGUGCUUGAAGCAUGAUGGCUGAUCCUUGGCAGGAAUGCAUGGAUUAUGCAGUAACCCUAGCAGGACAAGCUGGAGAGGUGGUUCGUGAAGCUCUCAAGAAUGAAAUGAAUAUUAUGGUUAAAAGUUCUCCGGCUGAUUUGGUAACUGCUACUGACCAAAAAGUUGAAAAAAUGCUUAUCUCAUCCAUAAAGGAAAAGUAUCCAUCUCACAGUUUCAUUGGUGAGGAGUCUGUGGCAGCUGGGGAAAAAAGUAUCUUAACUGACAACCCUACGUGGAUCAUUGACCCUAUUGAUGGAACAACUAACUUUGUACACGGAUUUCCUUUUGUAGCUGUUUCAAUUGGCUUUGUGGUAAAUAAAAAGAUGGAGUUUGGAAUUGUGUACAGUUGCCUGGAAAAUAAGAUGUACACUGGCCGGAAAGGAAGAGGUGCCUUUUGUAAUGGGCAGAAACUGCAGGUUUCACGCCAAGAAGGAUCCGGGGUGUUGGAACAGCAGCUCUGAACAUGUGCCUGGUGGCCGCUGGGGCUGCGGACGCGUAUUAUGAAAUGGGGAUUCACUGCUGGGAUGUUGCAGGUGCUGGCAUCAUUGUGACUGAAGCUGGCGGAGUGCUCCUGGAUGUCACAGGUGGACCAUUUGAUUUGAUGUCACGAAGAGUAAUUGCUUCAAGCAGUAAAACAUUAGCAGAAAGGAUAGCCAAAGAAAUUCAGAUAAUACCUCUUCAAAGAGAUGAUGAAGAUUAACUCUGACAGCUUCACACAUUCAGUCACAGUUGGUCUCCCCAGGUUUUCUGAUGUGCUCGUGGUGUUAACAAAAUUCAGGACUUCUGUUUCACUUGAACAAUAUGAUUGGUGUAAAUUGCUUUCAGCGUCCAUAUUUAAAAACUACAACUUGUUCUGUGUUUUACUAAGAGUAGGUGUGCAAGAGUGGAUGAAAUAGUUCAUUGUUUUAAAAAUGUCUGUGUGGUAAGAAUGUACUUUGGGAAAGUACACAGGCAGUUGGUGAGAUAGGUUAUCACAUCAGCUGAAAUAGCCAGUUAGCAGUUUAGAGUUUCUAAGUAUUUAUGAGCCUGUGAAAUUUUGAGUUACUAUUUCUGUGCAUAUGCAUUCUUAAUGAGACAGUUAACUUUUUGGAAAAUUUUUUCUUUAGUUUCAAAAGCCAUAGUAAAUUUGUAAGAUGUAUAUAAUGAAUACUGCCUAGACCAAGAUCUCUUCUCUGCAGAAAACCUUGUUUUAUUCAUCAAUGUAGAACCAAACAUGGUACCUGUCAAAUAGGAGGCAAUCCAAAAAUAAGCAUUGAAAGAAUGAGUAUUUUGAAGGUAGUAAUUCCUAGUUGCUACGGAAAGUAAUGAGCUGAUCACUCUGUAAUUUUACUUCAGAUUUGGACAUAAGAACUAUCUGGUCAUCCUUUUUAUAUUUCAUGUUACUGUUCCUGUUAGCAUUUCAUAUUACCAUGCCAUUCCAGUGACCGCACCAAACAAAACUCACCCCGCCACUCUCGCUGUGCGUUUGUUUUAAAUCGACAGUGGUGGCAGUUGGAGCCGAGCAGAAACUGGUGGGCCAGAAACAGCGCUCUCCCCGCGCCCGCGUGGCCGCCUGUGUCGGUUUCCUGUUGCACAGAACACGUUGUCCCCGAGCCCAGUAGCGUCCAUGGUGCCUGCUUACCACGGCACAGUCUGGGAGCAGCGGUUCCGGGCACCCUCGCGAGGAUCCUGUCCCGAGGGUCUUCCAUGCGCUUGCAGCCGAGACGUUGAACGGAGCUGCAGCAUCUCGGUUUGACUGGGGCUGAAGCUCCUCCUCAGUCUCGCUUGUGUGGCUGUUGGCGGCAGCUCCUUGCUGUCUGGUGGCUCCAGGCUUGCCUUCCUCUCCAUCUUCGUAGCUGUGUCCUCAUCACGUGGCGACGGCCUUCCCCCGGAGGAAGUGAACCGAGAGAGGAGGCAAGCAGGAGACCGCUGUGCCUCCUAUAACCUGGUCUCUCAAGUCGUCACUCUCACUUCCAUUCUUUUCUGUUCAGCAGAUGUGACUCUUUAAGUCAGCCACACUCAAAGGCUGGGGAAUUCCCUGAAUAGAUAGCAUCAUUCUAGAAUUCUCUCUCUUGAGCUCCAGACUCAUGCUUCCAGAGGCCAAGUAAAAUCUCUCUCAAUGUAUUGCAGAUGUCUUAUGCUGAACGUGUCUCCAAAUAAACUCAAUCCCUGCUCCCA
Molecule: non-coding RNA, 2997 nt
Organism: Odocoileus virginianus texanus
Lineage: Eukaryota; Metazoa; Chordata; Mammalia; Artiodactyla; Cervidae
Source: RefSeq, a predicted model, not a curated record